Molecule: non-coding RNA, 77 nt
Organism: Desmophyllum pertusum
Lineage: Eukaryota; Metazoa; Cnidaria; Anthozoa; Scleractinia; Caryophylliidae
Source: the annotation of a GenBank genome assembly
GGCUUCAUUGCUCAGUUAGUAGAGCAUCGUACCAUGCAGUAUCGUGAAGAUCGUGAGUUCGAAUCCCGCUGUAGCCU